GGACGGUCAGUUUAGAUGGCUGAAACACUGCCGAGGCGCGCCGACGCAGAGAGGCGGGUUCGACUCCCGCACCGUCCA
This 78-nucleotide transfer RNA is filed under the name Caudoviricetes sp. Its description in RNAcentral is "tRNA-OTHER". It matches the Rfam family "tRNA". From Rfam's summary of the family: Transfer RNA (tRNA) molecules are approximately 80 nucleotides in length. Lineage: Duplodnaviria; Heunggongvirae; Uroviricota; Caudoviricetes. The record is from RNAcentral.